This 604-nucleotide ribosomal RNA is filed under the name Listeria seeligeri. RNAcentral's name for it is "partial 23S ribosomal RNA". It matches the Rfam family "Bacterial large subunit ribosomal RNA", at positions 1385 to 1985 of the family's 2925-position model. Lineage: Bacteria; Bacillati; Bacillota; Bacilli; Caryophanales; Listeriaceae. The record is from RNAcentral.
CGGGACCUAAGCCGAGGCCGAUAGGCGUAGGCGAUGGACAACAGGUAGAGAUUCCUGUACCAGUGCUAAUUGUUUAACCGAUGGGGUGACACAGAAGGAUAGGGAAUCGCACGAAUGGAAAUGUGCGUCCAAGCAGUGAGUGUGAGAAGUAGGCAAAUCCGCUUCUCGCGAAGCAUGAGCUGUGAUGGGGAAGGAAAUUAAGUACGGAAGUUCCUGAUUUCACGCUGUCAAGAAAAGCCUCUAGGAAGAGUAGUACUGCCCGUACCGCAAACCGACACAGGUAGAUGAGGAGAGAAUCCUAAGGUGAGCGAGAGAACUCUCGUUAAGGAACUCGGCAAAAUGACCCCGUAACUUCGGGAGAAGGGGUGCUCUAUUAGGGUGCAAGCCCGAGAGAGCCGCAGUGAAUAGGCCCAGGCGACUGUUUAGCAAAAACACAGGUCUCUGCAAAACCGUAAGGUGACGUAUAGGGGCUGACGCCUGCCCGGUGCUGGAAGGUUAAGAGGAGUGCUUAGCUUCGGCGAAGGUACGAAUUGAAGCCCCAGUAAACGGCGGCCGUAACUAUAACGGUCCUAAGGUAGCGAAAUUCCUUGUCGGGUAAGUUCCG